This 2672-nucleotide ribosomal RNA is filed under the name Klebsiella pneumoniae. Its description in RNAcentral is "partial 23S ribosomal RNA". It matches the Rfam family "Bacterial large subunit ribosomal RNA". Lineage: Bacteria; Pseudomonadati; Pseudomonadota; Gammaproteobacteria; Enterobacterales; Enterobacteriaceae. The record is from RNAcentral.
CACUAUCGUUAACUGAAUACAUAGGUUAACGAGGCGAACCGGGGGAACUGAAACAUCUAAGUACCCCGAGGAAAAGAAAUCAACCGAGAUUCCCCCAGUAGCGGCGAGCGAACGGGGAGCAGCCCAGAGUCUGAAUCAGCUUGUGUGUUAGUGGAACGGUCUGGAAAGUCCGACGGUACAGGGUGAUAGUCCCGUACACCAAAAUGCACAGGUUGUGAACUCGAAGAGUAGGGCGGGACACGUGGUAUCCUGUCUGAAUAUGGGGGGACCAUCCUCCAAGGCUAAAUACUCCUGACUGACCGAUAGUGAACCAGUACCGUGAGGGAAAGGCGAAAAGAACCCCGGCGAGGGGAGUGAAAAAGAACCUGAAACCGUGUACGUACAAGCAGUGGGAGCACCUUCGGGUGUGACUGCGUACCUUUUGUAUAAUGGGUCAGCGACUUAUAUUCUGUAGCAAGGUUAACCGUAUAGGGGAGCCGCAGGGAAACCGAGUCUUAACUGGGCGUUAAGUUGCAGGGUAUAGACCCGAAACCCGGUGAUCUAGCCAUGGGCAGGUUGAAGGUUGGGUAACACUAACUGGAGGACCGAACCGACUAAUGUUGAAAAAUUAGCGGAUGACUUGUGGCUGGGGGUGAAAGGCCAAUCAAACCGGGAGAUAGCUGGUUCUCCCCGAAAGCUAUUUAGGUAGCGCCUCGUGAAUUCAUCUUCGGGGGUAGAGCACUGUUUCGGCUAGGGGGUCAUCCCGACUUACCAACCCGAUGCAAACUACGAAUACCGAAGAAUGUUAUCACGGGAGACACACGGCGGGUGCUAACGUCCGUCGUGAAGAGGGAAACAACCCAGACCGCCAGCUAAGGUCCCAAAGUCAUGGUUAAGUGGGAAACGAUGUGGGAAGGCACAGACAGCCAGGAUGUUGGCUUAGAAGCAGCCAUCAUUUAAAGAAAGCGUAAUAGCUCACUGGUCGAGUCGGCCUGCGCGGAAGAUGUAACGGGGCUAAACCAUGCACCGAAGCUGCGGCAGCGACACUAUGUGUUGUUGGGUAGGGGAGCGUUCUGUAAGCCUGCGAAGGUGUGCUGUGAGGCAUGCUGGAGGUAUCAGAAGUGCGAAUGCUGACAUAAGUAACGAUAAAGCGGGUGAAAAGCCCGCUCGCCGGAAGACCAAGGGUUCCUGUCCAACGUUAAUCGGGGCAGGGUGAGUCGACCCCUAAGGCGAGGCCGAAAGGCGUAGUCGAUGGGAAACAGGUUAAUAUUCCUGUACUUGGUGUUACUGCGAAGGGGGGACGGAGAAGGCUAUGUUAGCCGGGCGACGGUUGUCCCGGUUUAAGCAUGUAGGCUGAUUGUCCAGGCAAAUCCGGAUAAUCAAGGCUGAGGUGUGAUGACGAGGCACUACGGUGCUGAAGUAACAAAUGCCCUGCUUCCAGGAAAAGCCUCUAAGCAUCAGGUAACAUCAAAUCGUACCCCAAACCGACACAGGUGGUCAGGUAGAGAAUACCAAGGCGCUUGAGAGAACUCGGGUGAAGGAACUAGGCAAAAUGGUGCCGUAACUUCGGGAGAAGGCACGCUGGUGUGUAGGUGAAGUCCCUGCGGAUGGAGCUGAGACCAGUCGAAGAUACCAGCUGGCUGCAACUGUUUAUUAAAAACACAGCACUGUGCAAACACGAAAGUGGACGUAUACGGUGUGACGCCUGCCCGGUGCCGGAAGGUUAAUUGAUGGGGUUAUCCGUAAGGAGAAGCUCUUGAUCGAAGCCCCGGUAAACGGCGGCCGUAACUAUAACGGUCCUAAGGUAGCGAAAUUCCUUGUCGGGUAAGUUCCGACCUGCACGAAUGGCGUAAUGAUGGCCAGGCUGUCUCCACCCGAGACUCAGUGAAAUUGAACUCGCUGUGAAGAUGCAGUGUACCCGCGGCAAGACGGAAAGACCCCGUGAACCUUUACUAUAGCUUGACACUGAACAUUGAGCCUUGAUGUGUAGGAUAGGUGGGAGGCUUUGAAGCGUGGACGCCAGUCUGCGUGGAGCCAACCUUGAAAUACCACCCUUUAAUGUUUGAUGUUCUAACGUUGGCCCCUGACCGGGGUUGCGGACAGUGUCUGGUGGGUAGUUUGACUGGGGCGGUCUCCUCCCAAAGCGUAACGGAGGAGCACGAAGGUUAGCUAAUCCUGGUCGGACAUCAGGAGGUUAGUGCAAUGGCAUAAGCUAGCUUGACUGCGAGCGUGACGGCGCGAGCAGGUGCGAAAGCAGGUCAUAGUGAUCCGGUGGUUCUGAAUGGAAGGGCCAUCGCUCAACGGAUAAAAGGUACUCCGGGGAUAACAGGCUGAUACCGCCCAAGAGUUCAUAUCGACGGCGGUGUUUGGCACCUCGAUGUCGGCUCAUCACAUCCUGGGGCUGAAGUAGGUCCCAAGGGUAUGGCUGUUCGCCAUUUAAAGUGGUACGCGAGCUGGGUUUAGAACGUCGUGAGACAGUUCGGUCCCUAUCUGCCGUGGGCGCUGGAGAAUUGAGGGGGGCUGCUCCUAGUACGAGAGGACCGGAGUGGACGCAUCACUGGUGUUCGGGUUGUCAUGCCAAUGGCACUGCCCGGUAGCUAAAUGCGGAAGAGAUAAGUGCUGAAAGCAUCUAAGCACGAAACUUGCCCCGAGAUGAGUUCUCCCUGAGACUUUAAGUCUCCUGAAGGAACGUU